RNAcentral lists this ribosomal RNA (118 nucleotides) under Pteropus alecto (black flying fox). Lineage: Eukaryota; Metazoa; Chordata; Mammalia; Chiroptera; Pteropodidae. The record is from RNAcentral. RNAcentral also lists the same sequence under 1 other name.
GUCUACAGCGAUGCUACUCUGAACAAGUCUGAUCCCAUCUGAUCUUGGAAGCUAAGCAGGGUCGGUCCUGGUUAGUACUUGGAUGGGAGACACCUAGGAACACCAGGUGCUGUAGGUG